AGUGAACGCUGGCGGUAGGCCUAACACAUGCAGGUCGAACGGCAGCACAGUAAGAGCUUGCUCUUACGGGUGGCGAGUGGCGGACGGGUGAGGAAUACAUCGGAAUCUACUUUUUCGUGGGGGAUAACGUAGGGAAACUUACGCUAAUACCGCAUACGACCUACGGGUGAAAGCAGGGGAUCUUCGGACCUUGCGCGAUUGAAUGAGCCGAUGUCGGAUUAGCUAGUUGGCGGGGUAAAGGCCCACCAAGGCGACGAUCCGUAGCUGGUCUGAGAGGAUGAUCAGCCACACUGGAACUGAGACACGGUCCAGACUCCUACGGGAGGCAGCAGUGGGGAAUAUUGGACAAUGGGCGCAAGCCUGAUCCAGCCAUACCGCGUGGGUGAAGAAGGCCUUCGGGUUGUAAAGCCCUUUUGUUGGGAAAGAAAAGCAGCAGGUUAAUACCCCGCUGUUCUGACGGUACCCAAAGAAUAAGCACCGGCCAACUUCGUG
RNAcentral lists this ribosomal RNA (492 nucleotides) under uncultured bacterium. Its description in RNAcentral is "partial 16S ribosomal RNA". It matches the Rfam family "Bacterial small subunit ribosomal RNA", at positions 29 to 507 of the family's 1533-position model. The record is from RNAcentral.